This 127-nucleotide small nucleolar RNA is filed under the name Echinops telfairi (small Madagascar hedgehog). Its description in RNAcentral is "Small nucleolar RNA SNORA42/SNORA80 family (ENSETEG00000023393.1)". It matches the Rfam family "Small nucleolar RNA SNORA42/SNORA80 family". From Rfam's summary of the family: The members of this family belong to the H/ACA class of snoRNAs that guide the sites of modification of uridines to pseudouridines. Lineage: Eukaryota; Metazoa; Chordata; Mammalia; Afrosoricida; Tenrecidae. The record is from RNAcentral.
GUUUGGGUUUAAGGCCGGCCCAUCCCCAUGACCCUAGCAUAGUGCCCCAUGCCAGAGCAAACAGGAGCCCCAAACCAUUGCCUGACCUUGCUCCUGGGCUGUGGGUACUAAAGUGGGUUACACUGUU